UACAGAGGUGGCAAGCGUUGUUCGGAAUUACUGGGCGUAAAGGGCGCGUAGGCGGCCAUCUAAGUCAGACGUGAAAUCCCCCGGCUUAACCUGGGAACUGCGUCUGAUACUGGACGGCUUGAGUAUGGGAGAGGGAUGUAGAAUUCCAGGUGUAGCGGUGAAAUGCGUAGAUAUCUGGAGGAAUACCGGUGGCGAAGGCGGCAUCCUGGACCAUUACUGACGCUGAGGCGCGGAAGCUAGGGGAGCAAACGGG
RNAcentral lists this ribosomal RNA (253 nucleotides) under uncultured bacterium. Its description in RNAcentral is "partial 16S ribosomal RNA". It matches the Rfam family "Bacterial small subunit ribosomal RNA", at positions 524 to 776 of the family's 1533-position model. The record is from RNAcentral.